GCGUUGAUGGGGUAGUGGUAACCUUGGUCGUUGCCAUCUGUCUCGACCAGCCGGGGGUUCGAUUCCCUCUCAACGCA
This 77-nucleotide transfer RNA is filed under the name Botryobasidium botryosum FD-172 SS1. It matches the Rfam family "tRNA". From Rfam's summary of the family: Transfer RNA (tRNA) molecules are approximately 80 nucleotides in length. Their secondary structure includes four short double-helical elements and three loops (D, anti-codon, and T loops). Lineage: Eukaryota; Fungi; Basidiomycota; Agaricomycetes; Cantharellales; Botryobasidiaceae. The record is from Rfam by way of RNAcentral.